UGCAGUCGAGGGGUAGUUGGAGCUUGCUCCGAUGAGACCGGCGCACGGGUGCGUAACGCGUAUGCAACCUACCUUCAUCAGGGGGAUAGCCCGGAGAAAUCCGGAUUAACACCGCAUAACAUCAUUUCAUAGCAUUAUGGGAUGAUCAAACAUUUAUGGGAUGGAGAUGGGCGUGCGUGCCAUUAGCUAGUUGGCGGGGUAAGGGCCCACCAAGGCUACGAUGGCUAGGGGAUCUGAGAGGAUGGCCCCCCACACUGGUACUGAGACACGGACCAGACUCCUACGGGAGGCAGCAGUAAGGAAUAUUGGUCAAUGGGGGCAACCCUGAACCAGCCAUGCCGCGUGCAGGAAGACUGCCCUACGGGUUGUAAACUGCUUUUAUCCGGGAAUAAACCUUUCUACGUGUAGAGAGCUGAAUGUACCGGAAGAAUAAGGAUCGGCUAACUCCGUGCCAGCAGCCGCGGUAAUACGGAGGAUCCAAGCGUUAUCCGGAUUUAUUGGGUUUAAAGGGUGCGUAGGCGGCCUGUUAAGUCAGGGGUGAAAGACGGUAGCUCAACUAUCGCAGUGCCCUUGAUACUGAUGGGCUUGAAUGGACUAGAGGUAGGCGGAAUGAGACAAGUAGCGGUGAAAUGCAUAGAUAUGUCUCAGAACACCGAUUGCGAAGGCAGCUUACUAUGGUUCUAUUGACGCUGAGGCACGAAAGCGGGGGGAUCGAACAGGAUUAGAUACCCUGGUAGUCCACGCCCUAAACGAUGAACACUC
This 762-nucleotide ribosomal RNA is filed under the name uncultured bacterium. Its description in RNAcentral is "bacterial SSU rRNA". It matches the Rfam family "Bacterial small subunit ribosomal RNA", at positions 56 to 818 of the family's 1533-position model. The record is from RNAcentral.